GACGAACGCUGGCGGCGUGCUUAACACAUGCAAGUCGAACGCUGAAGCUUGGUGCUUGCACUGGGUGGAUGAGUGGCGAACGGGUGAGUAAUACGUGAGUAACCUGCCCUUGACUCUGGGAUAAGCCUGGGAAACUGGGUCUAAUACUGGAUAUGACAUGCCACUGCAUGGUGGUGUGUGGAAAGGGUUUUACUGGUUUUGGAUGGGCUCACGGCCUAUCAGCUUGUUGGUGGGGUAAUGGCCUACCAAGGCGACGACGGGUAGCCGGCCUGAGAGGGUGACCGGCCACACUGGGACUGAGACACGGCCCAGACUCCUACGGGAGGCAGCAGUGGGGAAUAUUGCACAAUGGGCGGAAGCCUGAUGCAGCGACGCCGCGUGAGGGAUGACGGCCUUCGGGUUGUAAACCUCUUUCAGCACGGAAGAAGCGAGAGUAACGGUACGUGCAGAAGAAGCGCCGGCUAACUACGUG
This 472-nucleotide ribosomal RNA is filed under the name uncultured bacterium. RNAcentral's name for it is "partial 16S ribosomal RNA". It matches the Rfam family "Bacterial small subunit ribosomal RNA", at positions 28 to 507 of the family's 1533-position model. The record is from RNAcentral.